GUGAACGCUGGCGGUAGGCCUAACACAUGCAAGUCGAACGGCAGCACAGUAAGAGCUUGCUCUUCCGGGUGGCGAGUGGCGGACGGGUGAGGAAUACAUCGGAAUCUACUUUUUCGUGGGGGAUAACGUAGGGAAACUUACGCUAAUACCGCAUACGACCUACGGGUGAAAGCAGGGGAUCUUCGGACCUUGCGCGGUUGAAUGAGCCGAUGUCGGAUUAGCUAGUUGGCGGGGUAAAGGCCCACCAAGGCGACGAUCCGUAGCUGGUCUGAGAGGAUGAUCAGCCACCCUGGAACUGAGACACGGUCCAGACUACUACGGGAGGCAGCAGUGGGGAAUAUUGGACAAUGGGCGCAAGCCUGACCCAGCCAUACCGCGUGGGUGAAGAAGGCCUUCGGGUUGUAAAGCCCUUUUGUUGGGAAAGAAAAGCAGCAGGUUAAUACCCCGCGGUUCUGACGGUACCCAAAGAAUAAGCACCGGCUAACUUCGUG
This 491-nucleotide ribosomal RNA is filed under the name uncultured bacterium. RNAcentral describes it as "partial 16S ribosomal RNA". It matches the Rfam family "Bacterial small subunit ribosomal RNA", at positions 29 to 507 of the family's 1533-position model. The record is from RNAcentral.